CAGACUCUCCAGGUCAUGAUGUGACCAAGGUUGCCCCUUGCCACUCCCAGCUUUAUUCUCACCAGCUCAGCAACCCCAGGGAAAAGGGAGCACCAAUUUCCAAUUGUUUCAGAACAAGGAAACUAUUGCUGCAUCCCAAGAGUCCCGCAUGCAGUAGCUCAUCAACUGGUCACAAGGACGUUAGAGAAGAACAGACCUCAGGAGCGCACAUGCACAGAGGGAUGACCGUGUGCAGAGGCAGCAAGAGGGUCGCCAUCUGCAGGCCAAAGAGAGAGGCCUUGACGGAAAUCAACCCUGACAGCCGGCAUCUCGAGCUUGGACUUCCAGCCUCCAGCACUGUGAGAUAAUAACUGUGUUGCUUAAGCCACCCGGUCUGUGGUCUUUUGCUAUGGCAGUUCUAGCGAACAAAUAUAGUCUCUUUCCCUGCACACCUAGAAGAGUUCCUGGGAAGAUGCCCAUAUGCCUGGCUUGGUUCACUUCCCGUCUGUUACCAAUUGCUGUGGCCACCAGAUGCUGAACUCUAAUCGGUCAGGCCUUGGCCAAGUGCUCAUCCCUGGAGCUAGGGAUGGGCUCAGCCUGCCAACCUGGGUUCACUUUUCCUUGUUUGAUUAAAAAUUUUAAUUUAAAGCAAGUGACGGCUGGAUGCAAUGGCUCACUUCUAUAAUUCCAACCUUUUGGGAGGCCAAGGUGGAAGGAUCACUUCAGCCCCAGAGUUCGAGACCAGCCUGGGCAACACAGCGAAAC
Molecule: long non-coding RNA, 744 nt
Filed under: Homo sapiens (human)
Lineage: Eukaryota; Metazoa; Chordata; Mammalia; Primates; Hominidae
Description: HSALNT0268416
Source: RNAcentral